UCAAACAAAUGGAGCGCAGAUGCUGUUCUGU
This 31-nucleotide non-coding RNA is filed under the name Mus musculus (house mouse). The record is from RNAcentral. Lineage: Eukaryota; Metazoa; Chordata; Mammalia; Rodentia; Muridae.